Molecule: ribosomal RNA, 467 nt
Filed under: uncultured bacterium
Lineage: Bacteria
Description: partial 16S ribosomal RNA
Rfam family: Bacterial small subunit ribosomal RNA
Source: RNAcentral
GACGAACGCUGGCGGCGUGCUUAACACAUGCAAGUCGAACGGAAAGGCCCUGCUUUUGUGGGGUGCUCGAGUGGCGAACGGGUGAGUAACACGUGAGUAACCUGCCCUUGACUUUGGGAUAACUUCAGGAAACUGGGGCUAAUACCGGAUAGGAGCUCCUGCUGCAUGGUGGGGGUUGGAAAGUUUCGGCGGUUGGGGAUGGACUCGCGGCUUAUCAGCUUGUUGGUGGGGUAGUGGCUUACCAAGGCUUUGACGGGUAGCCGGCCUGGGGGGGUGACCGGCCACAUUGGGACUGGGAACCGGCCCAGACUCCUACGGGAGGCAACGGUGGGGAAUAUUGCACAAUGGGCGGAAGCCGGAUGCAGCAACGCCGCGUGCGGGAUGACGGCCUUCGGGUUGUAAACCGCUUUCGCCUGUGACGAAGCGUGAGUAACGGUAAUGGGAAAAGAAGCACCGGCUAACUACGU